This 215-nucleotide long non-coding RNA is filed under the name Panax ginseng (ginseng). RNAcentral's name for it is "long non-coding RNA (PGIN_LNC010399)". The record is from RNAcentral. Lineage: Eukaryota; Viridiplantae; Streptophyta; Magnoliopsida; Apiales; Araliaceae.
UAUUCCUUUAUUACCCCCGCUCGACCCAGCUACACUCUUAUUACCUGAAAGGAAUUAUGAAGCAAAAGGGUGAGCACAACUAGCCCAGUGAAGAAUAUAAUGACUAAAGAUAAUUAAUUUAUCAAUAGCCUUCGUUAGUAAUAAAUCAGAGAUUUAGAACAUAUUGUAGAUGAUAAAACUUUUCAACCAUAGUGGCAGCGGAACGAGCAAUCCAU